AAAAAGUAAACCUUAAGAUAUAGCGAAAAUGAUUAUGAAUAUAUUUUAAUUAAUGAGAGAUCUUGCAUUGUUUUGAUUUAUUCAGACCAUUAAAAUGAAACAAAAAAAGUUCUUACAGUUCCAAUUGAUAUUUACAUUUUAAUGUGUUAUAAAAUAUGCAAAUCCACUUUUGAUUAUAGUUUCAAUAUUGUCUAAUUUAAAGAUUAAUAAAUGUUGUCAUAUGUACAAGAUAAUAUGGUGUUAUUCUCAGUUUUCAUUUGAAACGAUGUAUAUACUAAAAUUAAUCAUUUAAUUAAUCCUAAACAUCUUAUGAUACAAUAUAUAACACACUAUUCUUAUAUAUGUGUCACCUACUAACAUUAACAGCUUUUUUGUUUCAUUAAAAAUUAGCAUGUUUGUAAGAAUAUUACGUUAACACUCUUGUCGUUAUCAAUUUUAAAUAGAAAAUGUUUUCAUAUAUAAUAACAUACAUUUUUUCGAAAAGAGCAAUGAUUGUGUAAAUAUUAUUUACUUAAUAUGAAAAUAUAGAAUAUUAGAAGCAGUUAUGAGUUGAUAUUUGUUUUAUUGCCAAUAUGUAAUCGUUUGGAUUUUGGUUAUAGAUUCGUUUAUUUGUUAUUUGAUUUCUUUGUUAGAUUUAUGAUAUCUGACAGAUUGUUCUGGUUGAAUAAUUAUCGUUGUUGUUUAUAACUAAACAGUUAAACGGUCAUGACAGAAUAUAUUGAAGUGUUUUCAAAACAUUUCCUGUUUUCUAUUUUGUUUCAAUCAACUUUAUAUAUAAUGUCAAAGAUAAAUGUUUCGUCAAUGAAAAACAUUCAAGGGUUUUCAAAACAUUUGUAUUUUUGUUGUUUUUAAUGAUUAUAUAUUCAUAACAUGUAUCCUUUACUGAAAUAAUUCGCCACUUAGAUUAAUUUUGUUUUAGGAUAAUCAACGUAACACUUAUAAUGGCAAAUUUUCUGAAUUAAUCUCAUUUCUUUAUUCUCUUUGCAAUCACGUAUCUAUGAUUUGAGAAAAGGCCCAAAAAUGGUGUGUUCAACUGCAGAUUACAGCAUGGAACAUGAUGAUUAUAAACCAAAUUUAAAGAUCUGAAGAACCUGUUCGAGUACUUCCAUUGUUCCCAGAAUUAAUUCCAACUUAUGUAGAAUCAACAGCAAUUAGAAUCGCCUACAUCGAAACAAAAUUUUAUCAUGCCGUUGUUCUAGUUGGUCCAAACUGUUAGUGCAAUUCAACUGAUAUUGGCGCAGUAAAAUGUCAUGUUAUUCCUCAUUCAUUUAAACAGUAUAUUUCGAUGAUGCACGUAUUGCAUUUGGCAAUUCACCACAUAUACACUGAUCUCUGAAAGUCAUUCAUAUAUUUGCUGCUGAAGUUUAUCUGAUAUAUGUGAUAAUUAAUGUGCUCAACAAGCAGUCAAAAAAAAAACCAUCCUCAUUGAACCUGGUAUGCUUUUAUAGUUAUUGAAUCUUGCUGUUAUAUGUUUUUUUUUCUUACAUGAGUAAGUUUAAGUAUGUACAAAGAUUUAUUCUUUUGGGAAAUCCCUUAAUUUUAUUCUUUUGUGUAUAUUCCGACUGUAAAUCAUUCAUUUAACAAUAAGCAGCCUCCAGAUAAAAAACUAUUUUUGAAAAUAACUCAAUCAAAUUCUUACAAUAGUAUUAUUUAAAAAAAAGAUACGGAACUCCGAGGAAAAAUUCAAAACAGAAAGUUCGCAAAAAAAUGACAAAAUCAAAAGGUCAAUCACAUCAACCAAAUGGAUUACUGUCAUUUAUUUUGACUUGGUUCAGGCAUUCUUAUGUAGUAAAUGUUGAACUAAAAUUGGUUUUAUAGCUAUAUAAAUCCCUCACAUGUUCAGAUUGUUGAAUUGUCUUUUGCUGAAGUUUAGCAUCUGUGAUGGUUUAAUUUGUAUAUUUGUUUUUGUUUUAUAUUUCAUCGAAAAAAAUCGAAAAUAUUGCUAAU
Long non-coding RNA from Mytilus trossulus (common blue mussel), 1947 nucleotides. RefSeq lists it as uncharacterized. The record is from RefSeq and is a predicted model, not a curated record. The transcript is spliced from 3 exons. Lineage: Eukaryota; Metazoa; Mollusca; Bivalvia; Mytilida; Mytilidae.